RNAcentral lists this non-coding RNA (27 nucleotides) under Mus musculus (house mouse). Lineage: Eukaryota; Metazoa; Chordata; Mammalia; Rodentia; Muridae. The record is from RNAcentral.
UNGGAAGCAGUUAGUUGGUGUUGGCCA